CCUAGCGAACCAAUCCUGAAGAGCAAACCAUUUCCCCAAAGAGGAGAUGGGCAGGGCAGCCUCCCUAUAAAAGGCAAGACGAGCUCAGAGUUUCAGCUACACCUCCAGUGCGCCGUUCUUGGUAGAGAGUAGUAGCUGGGAAUUGGAUUUUUUCCCUCGUAUCUCUUGUGUUCUUUCGCGUGUACGGUUGAGGCCGUGCUCUCUUGCAGUUGCAGUGAGCUAGCGAGCUCUGUGUUUCUUCACCAUGGUUUGUUCUUUAAGUGGUGUUUUGAACUUCAUUUUCUUCUCCUUUGUGGCUGUUGUUUUGGUGGAACACUUUUGUGUCUGUGUUGCUGGUGCAAAAACUUCCAAUCCGGCUGUGACGAAUCUCGUCUGGGCAACCCGGCCACCUUUUGCACAUAAGACCGACUCCAGCGGGCUUCCCAUCCCGUCCCCGCCGCGGUAAAUGGGACGCUGGGCGCACUGUUCACGCGCCCAACGGAUUGCCCAUUGCGUCUCGGAAAAACGGGGUACCUCCCUCCCGUCCCGCAGAUCCGCGCGAGCCCCCCCCCCGGCCUCCCAUCCCAACUGUCGCUCCCGUCCUCCCCUUCUCCCUCUCUGGUGCAUCUCGGGCGGACGGAGCACCGCCACCACCACCACUGGCGCGGACGGAGAUCCGGCGCGGAUGGACCACCCCCACCGCUUCUCCGGCGGACGGAGAAGCAGCUGCAAGAGCCGGCGGCGCACGAGGUCUUCUUCACCCCCAGCGCUGGAUCUUCCACUGCUCCGGCACCAUCUGCAGCAGGGUCUGGUGGAGCACUACAUAUACAUGCCGACAAAAUUGAUCCACAAGAAGAGGAUGGAAACACGUCCUGCUAUGCAUCAACAUUCUACAGUGUGCACAGCUCAGACAUCUUAUUUUGCUGAUUAUUCGAAUACAGCAUCAUUCCUACCAAUUGAACAAUUUCUCUGCAGUUAAUCAGCCGCUGAGUGCAUCAAGAAGCCCUAAAGCAAUGUAAACCUUGCAAACAUGUCAACCGACUCUGUGUAAACGAACUUACAGUAGGGAAGCUACCCCCAUGUUCCAGAGUUUCUACCAAAGCUGCAAGAAGUCAGGGAUCUGGAAUGUCUGAAGAGGGAAGAAACCUCAUCAGAAAGCUUGAGAGAGACCAUACACAGAUAACGCCAAGAAUUUGAAGAACAGUGAGUAAUGCUCCUAAUGAGUUCAUGAUAGCCAGAGUUUGAUUUGUUGUCUCUGUUCCUCUGACAGAAAAUGUGAGUGCCGUCACCAGCUGAGCUGCCCGGUUCAGUUGGUGAAGCCUGUACACCUGGAAGCAGGAGGAAAAACAUAUGCUCAGAACUUAUUGAGAGCAUCAUGUAACAUUUAAGUGCUAAUCCAUCCAUAUAAAACAUAAACAUGCAAUUGCUUGAUCGUCCAGAUGAGAAACAGCAUUGCAUGGAGAGUCAUGCUCAUUACUAA
Long non-coding RNA from Panicum virgatum (switchgrass), 1459 nucleotides. RefSeq lists it as uncharacterized. The transcript has 2 exons. Lineage: Eukaryota; Viridiplantae; Streptophyta; Magnoliopsida; Poales; Poaceae. The record is from RefSeq and is a predicted model, not a curated record.